RNAcentral lists this ribosomal RNA (253 nucleotides) under uncultured bacterium. RNAcentral's name for it is "partial 16S ribosomal RNA". It matches the Rfam family "Bacterial small subunit ribosomal RNA", at positions 524 to 776 of the family's 1533-position model. The record is from RNAcentral.
UACAGAGGUCUCGAGCGUUAGGCGGAAUCACUGGGCUUAAAGCGUGUGUAGGCGGAUCGGUAAGUACCUUGUGAAAUCCCACAGCUUAACUGUGGAACUGCUUGGUAUACUGCCAGUCUUGAGCCACUUAGGGGCUACCGGAACAAAUGGUGGAGCGGUGAAAUGCGUAGAUAUCAUUUGGAACGCCAAUGGUGAAAACAGGUAGCUGGGAGUGUGCUGACGCUGAGACGCGAAAGCGUGGGGAGCAAACAGG